GCGUCGGUGGUGCAACGGUUAGUAUACGCUACCGGAAAGGCUGUGAUCUGGGUUCGAAUUCCAGCUGACGUA
This is a non-coding RNA of Parelaphostrongylus tenuis, 72 nucleotides long. The record is from the annotation of a GenBank genome assembly. Lineage: Eukaryota; Metazoa; Nematoda; Chromadorea; Rhabditida; Metastrongylidae.